RNAcentral lists this ribosomal RNA (374 nucleotides) under uncultured prokaryote. RNAcentral's name for it is "partial 16S ribosomal RNA". The record is from RNAcentral.
CCCUAUGGGGUGCAGCAGGCCGAUCUGAAAAUAGACGUCGUUGUUCAGCCCCCGCAAACCUGAGGCGAUAAUGCCGCCGAUGAUGCCGAGGGGAAGGACCAGCAGGAUUGAAACGGGGACGGUCCAGCUCUCGUAAAGGGCGGCGAGGCACAGAAAGAUCACGAGAACCGAGAAAGCGAAAAGGGGCGCCGUCUGUGUGCCGGCCUGCCGUUCCUGAUAGGAAAGCCCGGUCCAGUCGAAGCCGAUUUGCCGAGGCAGUGGCGCGGCGGCGUCCUCCAUGGCCUGCAUCGCCUCGCCUGAGCUUCUCCCCGGCGCCGGCUCGCCUUGUAUGUUGAUGGACGGAAAGGCGUUGUAGCGCUCCAGCUUGGGAGAGC